This 353-nucleotide long non-coding RNA is filed under the name Marmota monax (woodchuck). The record is from RNAcentral. Lineage: Eukaryota; Metazoa; Chordata; Mammalia; Rodentia; Sciuridae.
AAACUUUUUAAAUUUGGAUUCAUCAGGACUUAGUGCUGCGGAAAGGCAUAUGUAUCCAAAAAAUGUACAUAAGCCUAAGGUACUUUGGAAAGAUAUUCUAACAGGACAAUGGAAAGGUCCUGACCCAGUGAUUGUCUGGAGUCGGGGUUUUGUUUGUGUGUUUCCACAGGGAGAACAGCAGCCGAUUUGGAUUCCAGAGAGAUUAACUAAAACAGUUUCUACAGAUCGAAAAGAAGAUGAUUUGACUCAAAUCCAUAACAGCUGAUAUCCAGAACUCCAGCUUGGCACUCAACAAGUAAUGCUCAAUCAAGGUGUCAACUUACUUUGGGAGGAGACAGAUUUUUGGNNNNNNN